UGGGAGGAGACAAUUAUACAUAGGAAAACAACGCUGCAAAAGACUGCAGACUUCUCAUAGAAUCAAUGAAAGUCAGCAAACAAUGGAACGGCAUCUGAAAAGUGAUGAAAGAAUAAAUCUGUUAACUCCGAAUGGUAUCAGUGAAAAUCUCUCUCAAAAUGGAAAAAUAAAACUAUUUGGGGAUAAAUAAAACAGAGAAUUUGUGGCCAGCAGUCCAAAGACUGUUUUUCUUUUCUUAAAUUCUUUAAAAAUUAAUCCACCUUUUAAAGUAAAAAUAACAAUGCAUUCUGGGAUCUAUAAGACAUACAAAAAUAAAGUAUAUGACCACAAUAACACCAAAGGCCGGAGAAGAUGUGAUGGCAUUACAUAUAUAUAUAUAUAUAUAUUUGUUUAUUUAAUUUAUUUAUUUAUUGAGACGGAGUUUCGCUCUUGUUGCCCAGUGUGGGGUGCAACGGCGCAAUCUUGGCUCAUUGCAACUUCCACCUCCCCGGUUCAAGCAACUCUCCUGCCUCAGCCUCCUGAGUAGCUGGGAUUACAGGCAUGAGCCACCAUGCCCGGCUAAUUUUGUAUUUUUAGUAGAGAUGGGGUUCCUCCAUGUUGGUCAGGCUGGUCUCGAACUCCUGACCUCAGGUGAGCUGCCCGCCUCGACCUCCCAAAGUGCUGGGAUUACAGGCGUGAGCCACUGCGCCCAGCCCUGGCAUUAUAUUUUUGUAACGUUCUUACGUUAUACAUGAAGUGGUGUAAUAUUAUUGGAAAGUAGACUGGAUAUUGAAGAAUGCAUAUUGUAACACUCCAGCAACCAAAAAUAUAAGGAGGCAUAGCUAAAAAGUAAGUAGAGAAGAUGGAAUAAAAUAUUUUAUUAAGUCUCAACCAAAUAGAAGGCAGUAAAGGAGGAACAAAAGAGGGGGGACAAAUAGAUAACAAAUAGCAAGAUGAUAAAACUUAAACCCACCCAUAAUGAUAAGUAUAUUACAUAUGAAAGGACUAGGCACUGCCAUUGAAAGGCAGAUAUUGCCAGACUUGAUUGAAAAGGAUCUUAGCUGAAUUCUUGUCUGUAAAUGGUGAGAAUUAAAUGAGACUGUGAAUCAAAGCACUGAGCACAGUGCCUGGCCCACACAGGAGGCUUCUUCAGUGAAAACUCUGAACAUAUUCUAAUAAGAGUCCUGCUUUCCUUCACGCCUGUCUGUGAGCUCUGUGGGGAGGCCCCAGAGCUGAGCAUUCAUCUAAUCAGCCUUUGUGGACCUCCAACGUCAUGCCAGACAGAUGGGGCCCUUAUCACCUGGCAGUUGCAUGUAGGUUAUAUGUCUACUUUUCAGGAACAGUGAAAUGACCCCUCCUCCUGUGCCUCCUCCAAAGAGGAGUUGGAGAAGGAGCCAGGGCACAAAGAGACAGAUUGUCAAAACCAUGCCUAUGCCGGGCAUGGUGGCUCAUGCCUGUAAUCCUUGCACUUUGGGAGGCUGAGGCAGGCAGAUCACUUGAGGUCAGGAGUUUGAGACCAGCCUAGCUAACAUGAUGAAACCCUAUCUCUACUAAAAAUACAAAAAUUAGCUGGGCAAGGUGGCACGCACAUGUAAUCUCAGCUACUCAGGAGGCUGAGGCAGGAGAAUCGCUUGAACCCAGGAGGUGGAGGUUGCAGGGAGACGAGAUGGUGCCACUUCACUCCAGCCUAGGCGACAGAGCGAGGUUCCAUCUCAAAAACAAAACACGACAAAACAAAACGAAAAACCAUGCCUAGAGCUGAGACAUCCUGAGGCUGGCUGGGGUCAUCGGCUUGUGGUCAGUGUAGCCACCGCAUGUUGGCCCACACCCUCCCCUUCCCUGGAAGCUGAGGCCAGAGUACCCAGCUUUUGGUCAGGGGGCUGUACGUGUGGGGCAAAGGGCAAAGUGGUGUCCAGGACCUGGAGCAGGAAAAGCUUGCAUUAUGCUCUGUGUCAAGCCAGUGGGGGCUACAGGUCCUGGGUUACUACUUGCCAGUUGGUGGUUGUGUGGGCAAGGAAAGGGGGAUCAUGGGUGGGACCCUGAGAGGCACUUCUCAUUCCCCUGUGAGAGGCCCCACAUCUGGCCUCUCCAGACAGACUCCAUGCUGGAUAACAGUUGGGUUCAGAACUUUAAGGAACAAAUUGCUGUUUCCAGCUCAGCUGUUCAGUCCAUUGGGCUCCUCCUCUUCCAAAUCCCCUAUCACUAACCCUCCUGCCGCAUGAGGGUAACCUCUACCCCUAUUUCUAACACCAUGGAGUAGUUUUGCCUGUUUUUGUCCUUUAUAUAUGUGAACUAUUUUGCACAUUAAGGUUGUAGAUUCAUCUAUAUUGUUGUGUACGGUUUGUUUAUUCUUAAAGCUGAUCAAUCAUCCCCUGUAUGAAUGAAUAGUCUAUAAUUUCUCUCUGUUCUAAAGCCGGAGGAUAUUCAGAUUCUUUCCAGUUUAGGGCUAUCCUGAAUAGUGUUGGUGUGAAUAUUCCAGGUUAUGUCUUUCUUUCUUCCUUUUUUUUUAAUUGAGACAAGAUCUUGCUCUGUCACCCAGGCUGGAGUGCAGUGGCGAGAUCACAAUUCACUGUAGCCUCCACCUUCCGGGUUCAAUCAAUCUGCAUGCCUUGGCCUCCUGAGUAGCUGGGACUACAGGCAUAUACCAUCAUGCCUGGCUACUUUUUAGUAGAGACGAGGUUUUGCCUUGUUGCCUAGGCUGCUCUCGAACUUCUGGGCUCAAGCAAUCCUCCCUCCUUGGCCUCCCGAUGUGCUGGGAUUACAGGCAUGAACCACCUCACCUGGCACAGGUUACAUCUUUUGAUGAACACGUGGAUGCAUUUCUUUUGCCUGUAUGCCCAGGAGUGGAAAUGCUUGGUCAGAGGGCAGGGUGUGUUCAACACAAUUAAACCUUACGGAUGCUUUCGUGGUGGUUAUACUAAUUUAGAUUCCCAUCAGCAAUGUCUGAGAGUUCUGGUUGCUCCAUAUCCUCAUCAGCACUUGGUAUUGCCAGUCUUUUUCACUUAAACUUCUCUGGUGUCUGAAGCGGUAGCUCACUGUGGUUUUGUAUUCUCCUUGCUAUUGUCCGAAUGUUUGAGUUUCUCCCAAAAACUCAUACGUUAAGACUUAAUCGGCUGGGUGCAGUGGCUCAUGCCUGUAAUCCCAGCAUUUUGGGAGGACGAAGUGGGCGGAUCAUGAGGUCAGGAGUUCGAGACCAGCCUGACCAACAUGGUGAAACCCUGUCUCUACUAAAAAUAUGAAAAUUAGCCGGGCAUGGUGGCACACGCCUGUAAUCCCAGCCACUUGGGAGGCUGAGACAGGAUAAUCACUUCAGCCCGGGAGGCAGAGGUUGCAGUGAACCAAGAUUACGCCACUGCACUCCAGCCUAGGCAACAGAGUGAGAGUCCAUCUCAACAACAACAACAACAAAAAGACCUAAUCACCAAGGUGAUGGUGUUAGAAGGUGUUAGAAGAUGGGGAUCUUUGAAAGGUGAUUAGGUCAUGAGGGCUCUAUCCUUGUGAAUUGGAUAACUGCCCUUAUAAAAGAGGCCCCAGAGAACUGUCUUCCCCCUUCCACCAUGUGAGGAUACAGCAAGAAGGUGCCAUGUUUGAAGCAGGGAACGGGCUCAGGCACCGGAUCUACUGCUGCCUUGAUCUUGGACUUCCCAGCCUCCAGAACUGUGAGCAAUAAAUUCCGUUGUUUAUAAAUUUCCCAGUCUAAGGUAUUUUGUUACAGUAUCCUGAACUGACCAAGCCACCCCCAUGAGUCAUGAAGCUAGCAGCUUUUCGUGUAUUUGUUGGCCUCCUAAGUACUCUUGUUAUGAAGUACUUUAAUGCAAGCCCUCCCCCAUUUUUCUCUUGAAUUGUCUGCCUUUUUCUUUUUGGUUUGUAGGAGUUCUUCAUAUAUAGUGGGAAAAAAUCAUUUGGGAUGUGUGUGUGUGCGCACACGCAAAUGCAUGCAUGCACGUGUUUAAAAGGCCAAUAUUCUCUGUCCCACAAAUUCAGAACACCACAGUGGUUGGGCCAUAAUUGCACUGUGGGUGGUGGCAGGGUUUCAGACAAAAGGCAUAAUAACAUGUCACAUAAAAUUAAUCUGAUUUGAAUCGAUUUUGUACGUGAUGGGUCAAUUUGUCUUGGUCUGAUGCUUGUAUAAGAGCUACAAGGAGUUUAUAUCUCAUUUUAUGCUUGCACAUGUUUAAGUAAUACACAAUAAAAAUCAUUUAAGGCAACAGUGAGGGCCCAGGAGAUGCCCUUCUUCUCUAGGUAAGCAGGAGAUUCUCAAAACACAAAUCCAAUCUGUGACUCCCCUGCUUAAUGCAUCUCAAAAGAUCCUUUUUUUGUCUAGGAUGGAGAUGAGACUCCUUCCCCUGGUAGGCGGCCUCCUCGGACCUGCUCCCCUGCACUGUUCACUGAAGCCGCCGCCUCCUUCUGGGCAUGGUCUCUCCAUGUCUUCUCUCUCCACAUAAGCCCCCAGCCCCUGUUUUGGAGCAGCUGCUGCCCUGACCACCCCUUUUGCUUAGACUUAGCUCAAUCAUCCCUUCUCUGGGAAGCUCCCACUGUGGCCUCUGAAACCACCAUCCCAGCUGGGCACUUUGCUUCCUUUUUUUUUUUUUUUUUUGAGACAGAGUCUCGCUCUGUCGCCCAGGCUGGAGUGCAGUGGCGCCAUCUCGGCUCACUGCAACCUGUGCUCCUGGGUUCACGCCAUCCUCCUGCCUCAGCCUCCCGAGUAGCUGGAACUACAGACGCCCGCCACCACGCCCAGCUAAUUUUUUUGUAUUUUUAGUAGAGACAGGGUUUCACCGUGUUAGCCAGGAUGGUCUCAAUCUCCUGACCUCAUGAUCCGCCCGUCUCGGCCUCCCAAAGUGCUGGGAUUACAGGCGUGAGCCACCACGUCCGGCCUUUGCUUCUUUGCAUAAUCUCAGCUGAGAUUUAUAAUUUACUUGUGGGAUUCUCCCCUCUCAAACUAUAAGUUCUGUGAAGACAGAGAUGGUAUUUUUUUCUCCUCACUUUAUUUAUUUAUUUGAGACAGAGUCUCACUAUGUUGCCCAGGCUGGAGUGCAGAGGUGCAAUCUCGGCCCACUGCACGCUCCACCUCCUGAGUUCAAGUGAUUCUCCUGCUCAGCCUCCUGAGUAGCUGGGACUACAGAUAUGCACCACCAUGCCUGGCUAAUAUUUGUAUUUUUAGUAGAGACGGGGUUUUGCCAUGUUGGCCAGGCUGGUCUCAAACUCCUGACCUCAGGUAAUCCACCUGCCUCUGCCCCUCAAAGUGCUGGAAUUACAGUCACGAGCCACUGCGCCCGGCCUUCUCCUCACCUUUUUCUCCAGUGUCCACUCCAGCAUGCAGUAUUUGAUAAGCGCUCAGUAAAUGUUUGUUGAAUGACUUACUAACCUGAGCUUGUGUUAACUCUCUCACUGUAUUGAUUCUGAAAGGCAAAGAGGGCCCAAGGUCACAUGUAGGGAAGGGCCAAAGGCAGGACUGGAGCCCAGCAAUUCUUGUUCAACCACACGGAAUGGGAAGUAAAGUCCUCUUUGGCCAGCAGCAGAGGGGCCAGGUCCCCCUUGUCAUCAGCCUGGAAGACCCUAAAGGAUCAUCUAGGACAAUUCUUUCAUUCUUUGAAUGGGGCAUCUAAAACUGAAGAGUGGACAGGGAUUGUCUAGAGUCAUACGGUGAAGGUGAUCCGGAAGUUCCGCUAGAGAACACAGCAGAUUCUAUCCUGUAGAAACACAAUGGGUUCUACCCAGAUUGCCUGACACUCAAUAUUCUUUUUUAAUUAAACUAAAUUAAUUAACUACUUUUUGAGUGCAGUGUUGUGAUCUCAGCUCACUGCAACCUCCACCUCUCAGGUUCAAACAAUUCUCCUGCCUCAGCCUCCCGAGCUGCUGGGAUUACAGGUGUGUGCCACCACGCCCAGCUAAUUUUUGUAUUUUUAGUAGAGUCAGGGUUUCGUCGCGUUGGCCAGGCUGGUCUUGAACUCUUGGCCUCAAGCAAUCCACCUGCCUCAGCCUCCCAAAGGGCUGGGAUUUCAGGCGUGAGCCACUGAGAGGGGCUCUGACACUCAACAUUCUUUCCAGUAUCCCCAACUCUCCUGGAGGUGAAGGACUAAGGGGGUGGGGGCAUGGCUCUCAGACUCCAGACUGACAACCUAAUAUUGAGGCUGGGCUGGGAGUGGAACCGAGAUUUCCCAGCCUGAGGCCAAUGGAUGACAAGGGCCUUUCUUGUUCUCCUCCAGAGCCUCUUCUGGAGCCCCACUAGGGAAUUCCUGUCCUUGGAAAAGUGGGAGAGGACCAGAACAUUCUGGAAUAAAGACUGGAGACAUUCAGAGUGACGCAAGAAGUACAGUCCACAGUGGAGGAAAACUCCAGCUGCCAGGCAAUUGCCCGCUGGUCCCUGGCCUGGUCUAGGUGGUUGUGGGGGAAGGGGAGCUAACUGCAGUGACUCACUUAACCCUUUCCGGGCAGAGGAAGAUAACGCUUUUUAAUUGAAGAAAUUUUUUAAUUAAAAAACAUUUUUUUGACGGCUUCUUGUUGAGCAGGGCUACCCCACAGGCCAUGUGCCUAGAGUGGCCUUAAUUGAAAUUUUUGUUACAAUCAUUGUAGAUUCCUGUACAGUUAUAAGAAAUAAAACAGCCGGGCGUGGUGGCUCAUGCCUGUAAUCCCAGCACUAUGGGAGGCCGAGACGGGCGGAUGACGAGGUCAGGAGAUUGAGACCAUCCUGGCUAACACGGUGAAGCCCCGCCUCUACUAAAAAUACAAAAAAUUAGACGGGCGAGGUGGCGGGCGCCUGUAGUCCCAGCUACUCGGGAGGCUGAGGCAGGAGAAUGGUGUGAACCCAGGAGGCGGAGCUUGCAGUGAGCCAAUAUCGUGCCACUGCACUCCAGCCUGGGCGACAGAGCGUCUCCAAAAAAAAAAAAAAAAAAAGAAGAAAUAAAACAGAGAGGCUGGGCACAGUGGCUCACGCGUGUAAUCCCAGCACUUUGGGAGGCCGAGGCAGGUGGAUCACCCAGCCUGGGCAACAAGAGGGAAACUUCAUCUCAAAAUAACAACAACAACAAAAAAGAAAACAGAGGGAUCCCAGGUACCCGCCUUCACUCAGUUUCCCCAAUGGUAACAUCUCGCAGAACUACUGGGCGCCAUCACAGCCGGGGUCUGACUGCUCUUGCUCAGGUUUCCCCGGUUUUCCGUAUCCUCACGUGUGUGUAUUUACUUCUGUGCAAUUUUAUCGCAGGCCAAGGCAGGCGUGAGCCACUGCACCUGGCCCCAUCUUUCUACAACUGGGAAAAUUCUGAGUUCU
This 7249-nucleotide long non-coding RNA is filed under the name Homo sapiens (human). RNAcentral's name for it is "HSALNT0156014". Lineage: Eukaryota; Metazoa; Chordata; Mammalia; Primates; Hominidae. The record is from RNAcentral.